Molecule: ribosomal RNA, 463 nt
Filed under: uncultured bacterium
Lineage: Bacteria
Description: partial 16S ribosomal RNA
Rfam family: Bacterial small subunit ribosomal RNA
Source: RNAcentral
GAUGAACGCUGACAGAAUGCUUAACACAUGCAAGUCGAUGGGGAAGUGGUGCUUGCACCAUGGUAACCAUGGCGGACGGGUGAGUAACGCGUAAGGAACUUGCCUGCGGGACUGGGAUAACAGCAGGAAACUGCUGAUAAUACCGGAUAAGGUCAUUAAGCUGCAUAGCUUAGUGAUGAAAGGAGACGCCUGCGGAGAGCCUUGCGUCCUAUUAGCUAGUUGGAGGGGUAACGGCCCACCAAGGCGAAGAUAGGUAGCCGGCCUGAGAGGGUGGACGGCCACAAGGGGACUGAGAUACGGCCCUGACGCCUACGGGAGGCAGCAGUGGGGAAUAGUGGACAAUGGGGGCAACCCUGAUCCAGCAAUUCUGUGUGCACGAAGACGGUUUUCGGAUUGUAAAGUGCUUUCAGCAGGGAAGAAGGAAGUGACGGUACCUGUAGAAGAAGCGACGGCUAAAUACGUG